Gastrolobium bilobum is the source of this 361-nucleotide long non-coding RNA. RefSeq lists it as uncharacterized. The transcript is spliced from 3 exons. NCBI's taxonomy places the organism in Eukaryota, Viridiplantae, Streptophyta, Magnoliopsida, Fabales, Fabaceae. The record is from RefSeq and is a predicted model, not a curated record.
GCAACAUUGACAUAUCUUGGUUUCUUAUGGUUUAGAGAAUUUUAUUUAGAGUCUUCACGAGUUAUUCAGAAUCUGGAAUACCUUGAGGAAUUUCAUUUUCAAAUUCAGAAAUUAAGGAUAUAUAUAUGUAAUACCGGUGGCAAGUGGAACGAAUGGAAAAUUGCUUCUUACAGAGAAACAUACCUUGCGCAGUUGUCAUGGAGUUGUGAUUGCCAUUGAUCCAUUGGCAGGGUUAUGUGUGGCUAGGGCAAGUGUUAAGACAUCAGCCUUUAGUUAGCAUUUUUCUUCCGUUUCAUGUAUUUUCUUUAGACUUCAUUUGAAUUUAAGUUAUCUUGUUAAUACAUAUUAAUUUUACAUGUGA